AUGAUAACCCAUCACCCAUCCCUGCUCCGCCUCCGCGCACCCCUCCCCGCCGGCCUCCGCCACGGGACUUCACACGCCUUGCUUUUCACCGCCGCCGCCUACUCUCCUCCGCCGCCGCCCCUCCGCCUGCUACCUCUGCGCGUCGCCGCUGGAGGAGCCUCACCGGUAGGUCCUGAUGGCGGCAAUCGCGCGACGCCUCCCCCGCUGGGAGCCGCGGCGCUGGACUUCGCGCGGAGCAACUUCCUCCCGCUAGCUCUAAUUGGUGGGAUGACUUUGGGACUCCUGGAUCCAACUCUUGGUUGCCUUGCUCACAAAUAUUCCCUGUCAAAAUAUAGCACUUUUGGGAUAUUCGUUAUAUCAGGGCUGACUCUGCGCACUAAGGAGCUUGGCGCAGCGUUACAAGCUUGGCCUGCUGGACUCUUUGGACUAGGCUCAAUUCUGUUGUUCACACCUUUUCUUGCACAAUUUCUUGUGCAAAUUCAGUUCUUCCCUCGUGAAUUUAUCACUGGGUUGGCUAUGUUUUGUUGCAUGCCGACAACAUUAUCAAGUGGAGUCACACUAACACAGCUUGCUGGCGGCAACUCCGCACUUGCUCUUGCAAUGACAGUCAUAUCCAAUCUACUGGGCAUUAUGUUUGUACCUUUGUCUCUUGCAAAAUACAUUGGCACUGGAGCAGGAGUGUCUUUGCCUACUAAGGAAUUAUUCAGAAGUCUGGUUAACACUCUUUUAAUCCCCCUUAUUUUAGGCAAGGUUGCCCGAGAAACCUCAAAAGGUAUUGCUGAAUUUGUUGAUGGAAAUCGCCAGGGCUUUUCAGUUUUAAGUGCUGUUCUUCUCAGCCUAGUCCCAUGGAUACAAGUAAGUAGAUCAAGAUCUCUGCUAUUGUCCGUUAAACCAAAAGCUUUCGCUAUUAUUGUGACUAUUGGAGUGCUUCUACAUCUUGCUCUGCUGGCAUUCAAUGCUACAACACUGCAGGUCUUGUCAUGUCUUAAACAGAAGGAAGAGUCAGUCUUUGCGAGAAAAGAGUAUGCACGAGCUGUCAUUUUGGUGGCCAGUCAGAAAACAUUGCCAGUGCUGGUUGCUGUGGUUGAGCAGCUUGGAGGUGCUCUUGGGGAGUCCGGACUUCUGGUCAUCCCAUGUGUUGCUGCGCACAUUAAUCAGAUCAUUAUCGAUUCUAUCCUAGUAAAUUGGUGGCGCAAAAGAGAUCAACGAUCUACUAAUGCAAAAUAG
RNAcentral lists this ribosomal RNA (1227 nucleotides) under Triticum aestivum (bread wheat). RNAcentral describes it as "partial small subunit ribosomal RNA". The record is from RNAcentral. Lineage: Eukaryota; Viridiplantae; Streptophyta; Magnoliopsida; Poales; Poaceae.